RNAcentral lists this ribosomal RNA (236 nucleotides) under uncultured bacterium. Its description in RNAcentral is "partial 16S ribosomal RNA". It matches the Rfam family "Bacterial small subunit ribosomal RNA", at positions 923 to 1163 of the family's 1533-position model. The record is from RNAcentral.
GCACAAGCAGUGGAGUAUGUGGUUUAAUUCGAAGCAACGCGAAGAACCUUACCAGGUCUUGACAUCCAACUAAGAUUUAAGAGAUUAGAUUGUGCCCUUCGGGGAAAGUUGAGACAGGUGGUGCAUGGUUGUCGUCAGCUCGUGUCGUGAGAUGUUGGGUUAAGUCCCGCGACGAGCGCAACCCCUAUUGCUAGUUGCUACGCAAGAGCACUCUAGCGAGACUGCCGUUGAUAAAA